This 495-nucleotide ribosomal RNA is filed under the name uncultured bacterium. RNAcentral describes it as "partial 16S ribosomal RNA". It matches the Rfam family "Bacterial small subunit ribosomal RNA", at positions 28 to 507 of the family's 1533-position model. The record is from RNAcentral.
GAUGAACGCUGGCGGCGUGCCUAAUACAUGCAAGUAGAACGCUGAAGGAGGAGCUUGCUCUUCUGGAUGAGUUGCGAACGGGUGAGUAACGCGUAGGUAACCUGCCUGGUAGCGGGGGAUAACUAUUGGAAACGAUAGCUAAUACCGCAUGACAACAGUUAUUGCAUGAUAACUGUUUAAAAGGGGCAGCUGCUCCACUACCAGAUGGACCUGCGUUGUAUUAGCUAGUUGGUGAGGUAACGGCUCACCAAGGCGACGAUACAUAGCCGACCUGAGAGGGUGAUCGGCCACACUGGGACUGAGACACGGCCCAGACUCCUACGGGAGGCAGCAGUAGGGAAUCUUCGGCAAUGGACGGAAGUCUGACCGAGCAACGCCGCGUGAGUGAAGAAGGUUUUCGGAUCGUAAAGCUCUGUUGUAAGAGAAGAACGAGUGUGAGAGUGGAAAGUUCACACUGUGACGGUAUCUUACCAGAAAGGGACGGCUAACUACGUG